This 467-nucleotide ribosomal RNA is filed under the name uncultured bacterium. RNAcentral describes it as "partial 16S ribosomal RNA". It matches the Rfam family "Bacterial small subunit ribosomal RNA", at positions 28 to 506 of the family's 1533-position model. The record is from RNAcentral.
GACGAACGCUGGCGGCGUGCUUAACACAUGCAAGUCGAACGGAAAGGCCCUGCUUUUGUGGGGUGCUCGAGUGGCGAACGGGUGAGUAACACGUGAGUAACCUGCCCUUGACUUUGGGAUAACUUCAGGAAACUGGGGCUAAUACCGGAUAGGAGCUCCUGCUGCAUGGUGGGGGUUGGAAAGUUUCGGCGGGUGGGGAUGGACUCGCGGCUUAUCAGCUUGUUGGUGGGGUAGUGGCUUACCAAGGCUUUGACGGGUAGCCGGCCUGAGAGGGUGACCGGCCACAUUGGGACUGAGAUACGGCCCAGACUCCUACGGGAGGCAGCAGUGGGGAAUAUUGCACAAUGGGCGGAAGCUUGAUGCAGCAACGCCGCGUGCGGGAUGACGGCCUUCGGGUUGUAAACCGCUUUCGCCUGUGACGAAGCGUGAGUGACGGUAAUGGGUAAAGAAGCACCGGCUAACUACGU